AGAAUAUGUAGCCCGACAAGAAAAAGCUGCUAACUUUUAUCUUAAGCGGUUUGAUUCCGUUUAUAUUCUU
Molecule: transfer RNA, 70 nt
Filed under: Davidius lunatus
Lineage: Eukaryota; Metazoa; Arthropoda; Insecta; Odonata; Gomphidae
Description: tRNA-Ser
Source: RNAcentral